UGGACAACCGACGGAAACUCGGGCUAAUACCGGAUGUUUUGCACACUCAUAAGGGUGUGUAGGAAAGGUAGCUUCGGCUUCCGCAUCGGGAGGGGCUCGCGGCCCAUUAGCUUGUUGGUGAGGUAACGGCUCACCAAGGCAACGAUGGGUAGCUGGUCUGAGAGGACGAUCAGCCACACUGGGACUGAGACACGGCCCAG
Molecule: ribosomal RNA, 200 nt
Filed under: uncultured bacterium
Lineage: Bacteria
Description: partial 16S ribosomal RNA
Rfam family: Bacterial small subunit ribosomal RNA
Source: RNAcentral